CUGGUCUUAAGCUCCUGGGCUCAAGUGAUUCACCUGCCUCAGCCUCCCAAAGUGUUGGGAUUACAGAUGUGAACCACUAUGCCCAGCCAUGCUAAUCUUUUUAUCAUUGAAUUGUCCAUCUUAUAUUUGAACUAAUAAUCAGUUGUAAGUCUGUCUCUUACAUAUUGUUAGCUGCUAAUUCACUUAUUAAGCACUCUUUCUAUUUUUGGCCUGGUGGUAGGUGCUUGGGACACAGUGGUGAGUUAGAGAGAUAUAAUUGCUGAUUUCUUGAAGCAUAUGGUCUAGUCUCCCCACUAGAUAAACAGGCAAUUACUGUACAUGCUGUAAUGCGGGAAGUAAAGAAGGGUUUAGGAACAUACAGGACAGAAGCCUGGAAUGUGUGGGUGCCACUGAAGACCUCAUGAGAGCAAAGUGAUGAAGGGGUAGGAUGUGGUGUAGGGAGGAGUUAAAACCAGGGAACUGUGGGCUUUGUGGCUCUGGAUUAAGAGAAAACGGCACAUUUGAGGAAAAGAAGAAAAUUCAACAUCAUUGUAAAGGGUCUUAUAAACUAUGAUCAGAGCUGUGUUGGGAAAAAUCACUGAUUGAUUUUCAAUCCUGCUGCAGAACAGAACCAUUGUAUGGUGCUUUUAAUAGUAGAGAGACCUGGGCCCCACUCCAAGCCUGUUUAAUUACUAUGACCAGAGCAUGUGGCUCGGAGAUACACACACACACACACACACACACAUAUACACACACACACUAUAUAUAUAUAUAUGUAUGUGUAUGUAUGUAUUUAAGGCUCCGUAGGUGAUUCUGGUGUGUGACCAGGGUUGAGAGCUGUAGGGCUAUGUGGAGAGCAAGAACUAGAGUAGAGGAGCAAGACUGGAGGCAGGGACACCAGAGAGACAAAGAGUAAUCCAGGUGGUGAUUAUGGAAGUUCAACCCAGAGUAGUUCAAGUGGGACUGGAGAAAGCAUGUAUAGAUUAAGAGAUAUUAGGAGUUAGAACACAUAGCACUUAAGGUUGAUUGAAUGUAGGGGCCUGGAGGGGCGCAGUUCAAGAAAGGCUCCCAGUUUCUGGCACAACCACAGAGUGGAAGGUUGAGCUUGUCACUGAUCUAGGAAAUGUUAGAGGAGGAGCAGUUAUUUAAUGAGAAAGGUAAGGUUUUUAGGUUUUAGGUGAGUUUGAGAUGCUCAUGGAACCUCCAAAUAGCAUUGUCCAUUAGUUUAUUGACUAUAAGAGUCUGGAUUCAGGAGAUGUAUCUAGCCCGGGGAACUAUAGGUCCGCACCGUCCAUCUUACUUACACUGGAGCCCAUGAAAAUAAAUGAAAUUGACCAGGGAACAGGUGAAAAGUAAAAAGAGAACUGUAAAGAAUAGCAUUUAAGGGAUGAAUAGAAAGAGGAACCUGAGGAGAAACUGAGAUAGGGAAGUCAGAAACGUGGACAAUUAAGUGGGAGAACUCCUAGUUGUUAAAUGUUGAAGACAACUAAUAGUAUCAGAAGCUAAGGCAAGAGGAGUUUUCAAGAAGGAAGGGAGGAACACAAUUGUCAGAUGCUGCCAGGAAGGUAAAUAAGGAACUGAAAAGUGACUGCUGAAUAUGGCUGAAAAGGUUGUUAGAGAUCUAGGCUGGAGUCAUUUCAGUGGAAUAGUGGGGCAGAAGCCAGACUGCAGGGGGCUGAACAGUGAGUAGGAGGUGAGAGGGGUUAGACAGGGAGGGGUCCUUCAUAUUACAUCCUACUUUCUUGGCCAUCACAGAAUCCUCAACAGUCAAUAAACUUUGAAUAAGUGAAAGUGUGGGUAUUGGAAGAGUAAGGAUUAAGUUGAUGCAACAUUUUUAGCCUGACUGGUUGGGCACAUGGCAGUGGCAUUUGCUGAGAUUUGAAGCAAAGCCAGAAGAAAGGGCUGAGCUUGGUUUUGUGUGUUAGAUAUGCAAAGGAGAAGAUGCUAAGUGUAGUUGUAGAUAUACUAACUUUGGUGCUCUUUUUCUGAUUAUUCUGUAAGUAUAGCAUUGUCUUCAAAGUCACUCCAAAUACUACCAAGUAUUACUUGGUGUUGAUCAGAAGUAGGAUUUCCCCUCAACUUUGUAUGCUUGAAAAUGUCAUAGAACUUGAAAAAAAGAGGAAAUAUAGGAAUUUAAGAAAAAAGUCUGAACAGCAUCAUUUUGGGAUAUAAGUGAAGCAGAACUAAUAGAAAGGGGAACACAUCCUCUUUGCCUGAGGAAGUUGGACUAGUUCUACCUCUGUUAUGGCAUUUAAAAAUUGUAUAUUUAAUUUUUCAGUGUAUUUAACUUCUCUUUGUCCUCUUGAAGUUGGGAACAUUCAGUGGUACUCUGAACCAGUGGAUAAUUGUGACCUGGCGCUGUGCCUCUUGGGCCAGCUUUUGUUUCCUUAAUGAAUGCACUUCCUUCAUCUGUUAGUGAUAAGCAGGCAAGUGAGGAAUUCUUAUCUGCAUCUAUGGAUUGAACAUCUGUUUCUAUUCCACUGUGUUUCAGUUUUAACUUCUUUGCUUAGAAAUUAAUGUGAGCAAGUGAGCCUCCUCUUUUGUAAAGUCAUUUUGGAUUGAGAGUAUUUGUUAUCUGAGCAUUUUAUAUGCAUUAAAUUGAUAAUUUAGAAUUUUUUCUAAUAUUUUGAGUGAUGCAGAAAUCAUCAUCAUGGGGUCUCUUAAAUGUCUGUGACAGUGGGUUUAUUAAAAAAAUGUAAUUUUGUGCAUGGAGAUUAUUGGAGGGAUACCAAAUUUAUCCUAUGGGUGUUCAAUUUUGUCAGAGAGUUAUGAUACAUUUUAUUCUGCAUAUUAAAAAUGUUCAAGAAAGGAAAGCAAAAAAUCACCAUGGCAACUCAGUAGAAUACCAUUAUUUUGUUUUUCUGAAAGGAAAAUUCUAAAUCUGAGUAAUGAGGUAUGAGAAAAGAGCAGUGCAGAUUGUGUCUCUGGCUUCCAGGAAGUGAGCUCAUAAAAGAAUGGAUUUGAUGCCCUGGGUGACUCAGUGUUAUUUAGGGCCCCAUUUCUUUUUUCUCAUAAGGAAGAGCUAUAAAAAGGUGGCAUAUAUAUUAACACUACUAAAACAGAUCUACCAAAGAGCCUGUUGAAUUUUUCUUUAUUAUGCAACUUUUUGGAGCCAACUGUAAGUGUCAAGGCUGAGAAUGAAUGGAGAGCUGCAGGGGUUGGUGGGGGAAGGUUCUUAAGAUGUCAUCACACCACUUUUGACACUUCAACACUGAAAGAGUGCUACUAGGAUGAGUUUGAUUAGAAUGAUUCUGGCAGAGUGUCAAAAAAGAAACAGUACAUAGUCAAUGAAUUGAUACAUUGAUCAGUAGUAAAAAGUAGAAUCAAGCCAUGUACCAUUUUUGUAGAGAGACUAGUGGGCAGAUCAGUUGUCAACACGGCAUCCAGUUGUAGCACCAAACUGGUCAUCUAGAACUCAGUGUCUGACCUGUAAAUCGUUGCUAUUUCAGGGCUUCUGUUACCCCUCUUGGGGAAGCACCAAAGGACCUACAGGAACAUCAGUAUUCCGUAGAGGAGGGAUGAAGUGCUCAGGCAUAGACCUGACUAACAAGGCUGGAAGUAGCUUGGGAAAGUUACUUAACCUCUCCAAACAUCAGUUUUCUUAUCUAUGAAAUGGUUAUGGUUAUAAUACCUAUCUGAUAGGGUUGUUUUCAGGAAUACAUGAGUUAAUAUAUGUAAAACAUUAAAAGAAAUGCCUGAAACAUAGUAAGCACCAAUUAUUAGCUCUAAUUAUUGAAGAAUCUACAAGUGAUGCUUUUUUUGGCUGUGACUUUUCUAAAUUGGAUAUGUUUAUGAAAUGGACAGGCAAACAAUUACUUUUUGUUGUUGUUCUUUGGUAAUUACUUUGUAAUAAGUUAAAAUGGGAUGGAUAUAAAUGGGGAGGGGAUAUAUUGAAACCCAAUUUUCAGUCACAUGGCAUCAUGUGGGAUACUGAGAGAUAACUGACACAUGGAACAUUCUGGUCUGUAGCAUUUAGGGAAAAUACGGAUAUUUAGCAAAGACGUAUCUAAGGGACAGCCUAGGUAACUUAUCAGUUCAAGAGUGAGGUUUCUGAUGUGCAUGACAUCCAGGGGUGAGAUUUCUGCUGUUAUAUGGUAGGAAAAGGAAUUGCAUGCUAUUUUCUUUAAUUGUUUUUAGCCAAAGUAACUGUUAUAGCUGUAUGCUAUGGUAAAACACUGCAGUUUUUGGUUGUUAGGAAACCGUUGGGUUAUCUGGGCUCUUCUUUUUCCCAAGUUCUGAGGAUGAAGAGCUGGCUAUCAGAAGGUACAAAAAGAAUAAAACAGUUUGUGACUUCUGAGACAAAAAUUGUUAUCCAUGGCAAUAAAAACUCAUGUAUACUGUAUUUUUUAAAGUUAAACAAUAUUUAUUUUCAUUUGUCUUAUUAGAAAUGAUGAAAAUACAGAAAAUGAGGAUGUACAGAUAAUGUACAUGAGAGUGAGAUGUAUGAGAAUGUACAGAUAACAUACAUGAGAACAUACACUGUUCUGUACGUAGAAUGUACAUAGAAUGUAUGUACAUUCAUUCAUAAUACUUUUGCACAGAAAUCUACUUACAUGAACAUUUUCUGGGUACAUACACAUUGAUGUAAAUGGGAUUCAUAUGCUUUCUAUUUUAAAGUACAUUAUAAAUGCAUUUACUUUAUAGUGAAUAUACAUCUCCUAUAUAAUUGAGCAAUUCAUAAAGUAAUCAAAGGAUAGACCAAAAAAAGUAUUGAAUCAUUAUUCUUUAUCAACGUGUAGAUUAUUUCCAAUUUUUAUGAACAUGUUCUUAAAUAACAGGACCGGGCACUUGCCAGCCAGGCAGAACAGUGAGCCUCCUUCAACCUAAAGGGUUAUUUAUUUUAACAGAGCCAAGGCAGCAGCUUCUCUGUGCAUAUGUACCUCUGGGAAGAUUGUUUUCUGAUGAAGGCAUGGUUUCAUUCAGCAUUUGAUGACAGAUCCACACCAGUUUAGUGAAAGAGAUAUAGUCAUGUUCAGUGAAGCACCAAGGAAGGGCAGGUUAUUACCUUGGAAGUCUACAUUUGGCAACUAUUUCACAAAUUUUGUCAGUCAAAACUUGAUAUGAAGAUUCUUAAAAAUUUAACUUGGCCAGGCAUAGUGGCUCAAUGCCUUUAAUCCUAGCACUUUGGGAGGCCGACGCAGGUGGAUCACCUGA
Molecule: non-coding RNA, 5133 nt
Organism: Chlorocebus sabaeus (green monkey)
Lineage: Eukaryota; Metazoa; Chordata; Mammalia; Primates; Cercopithecidae
Source: RefSeq, a predicted model, not a curated record